CUCUUGGCCUAUUAACAUAAGAGGUACUGCCUGCCCAGUGACACCUGUUCAACGGCCGCGGUAUUAUGACCGUGCAAAGGUAGCGUAAUCACUUGUCUUUUAAAUAAAGACCAGUAUGAAUGGCGAAACGAGAGCCUAACUGUCUCCCCAAGCUAGUCAGUGAAAUUGAUAUCCCCGUGCAGAAGCGGGAAUACUCCUAC
This 200-nucleotide ribosomal RNA is filed under the name Eurycea latitans. RNAcentral describes it as "partial 16S ribosomal RNA". It matches the Rfam family "Bacterial large subunit ribosomal RNA", at positions 1820 to 2076 of the family's 2925-position model. The record is from RNAcentral. RNAcentral also lists the same sequence under 1 other name. Lineage: Eukaryota; Metazoa; Chordata; Amphibia; Caudata; Plethodontidae.